This 253-nucleotide ribosomal RNA is filed under the name uncultured bacterium. RNAcentral's name for it is "partial 16S ribosomal RNA". It matches the Rfam family "Bacterial small subunit ribosomal RNA", at positions 524 to 776 of the family's 1533-position model. The record is from RNAcentral.
UACGUAGGUGGCGAGCGUUGUCCGGAUUUACUGGGCGUAAAGGGCGUGCAGGCGGUCUGUUAAGUCUAGGGUGAAAGCUCCCGGCUCAACUGGGAGAGGUCCUUGGAUACUGGCGGACUUGAGGGAGGCAGAGGAGAAUGGAAUUCCCGGUGUAGUGGUGAUAUGCGUAGAUAUCGGGAGGAACACCAGUGGCGAAGGCGGUUCUCUGGGCUGACACUGACGCUCAUGCACGAAAGCGUGGGGAGCAAACAGG